GUUGAGGGUUUUAGGGUUUCACCGAUCGAAUUAGGAGGCAUUAACAGAAGCAUUACAAAUGAAUAUGGGCUGCCUGCUGCUGGCUUCUGCCUUCGGCAUGUAAUACUUUGUUACUAUGCUCUGCCUUGCUUCAUCUUGCUUGAAUACUAGUUUCACGUUCCAACAAGGGGAACUGGGGAAGGGGAUGUUAACCGUGAUUUCACAUUUUUCUUCAUUUCAUUCUAUUUCCCCACUACUAUCGACUUUCACUAAUAAACUAGUUAAAAUCCGCUCUUUCUUUCUCAGGCGGAGCAUACUUUUAAUAACAACAGACACCGAGGAGACAUGGAAAGCGUUGGAAUCUGUUUUCCCUUAACACCUGUUUGCUUCAUCUCUAGGUUAUUUGAAAUUUGGAUUUAACAGAGAAGAAGGUGGACAUUGUAUACCGUGAAUGAGCUUUAAUGGAUGGGAUCUCCAGUUCAGCCAUUCCUCACAAUGCAAGCAUGGAGAUGGAGUUUGGGUUGAUCGCAUCCCUGCUUGGAUUCAAUAUGCCUGCCACCGUGGACCCAGCAAGGUUCGCAGCACCAUAUGAAUUAUGAUGGUGUCUACUAGGAUCCACUAUCAUCAGAAUUCAGAAAGGUUUAUCAUCGAGGAGAUGACGGUGAGGAGGCAGACAUGAACAUUAGAGCAAGUUGUGGUUGGGCAGGAGAACUUUGAAGAACGAACUGGGUUCCGUGAAUCAUGAGUGACAAUGCUGUUGGUCAAGAGCACAAGAGAGUGUGACCAAGGGUCGUCGGAAGACUGACAUUUUUUGCUCUCUGUACAUAUAAUAUGUGGCCUGUGUCUGUGCCUGUGCCUGUGAAUAAAUAUUAAUAAUCGCAUUUCUUUGUAUCAGUGUUAAACGCUCCGUAGAAGUUUGUACGACUUGCAGAUGCAGAUGAAGUUGCAGACUAGAAUGCGUAUAUACAUGAAAAUAAACAAAUUUCCAUAUA
Long non-coding RNA from Malus domestica (apple), 971 nucleotides. RefSeq lists it as uncharacterized. The record is from RefSeq and is a predicted model, not a curated record. Lineage: Eukaryota; Viridiplantae; Streptophyta; Magnoliopsida; Rosales; Rosaceae.